AUGACAAACGGUUGAAAGAGUCGUCUCCUCAACGGGUUAGAGCGGGUGUUUUGAGUGUUUUAAAUUCAUUCCUUUUAGAUGAGCCAUCAUCCGAUAUCAUGGAUCUGCAGUGGCAUUUUGGAAAAAAAUGUUUUCAGGCGCGUUUCGAACGAAGGUUAUAGAAAAACCUGUGCUUGUGGAGAUGUACAGCAGAUUACCAUGGCAACCCAGGUUAUAGAAAAACCUGUGCUUGUGGAGAUCUACAGCAGAUUACCAUGGCAACCCAGGUGUGGAAAUAGGGGACUGUUUUUAAUCUGAAAUCUGUAUUGUCAAAGAUGGACAAUUCUUCUGACACCAUAUUAUUGUUCUUAAAGCAAAAUAUUAAUUUUGAUCUAUACUGUAUUCAUAAUUGUAUGUUUAUACUUGUGGCGCCACUGUGGCUGAGCAAGGUUUGGUAUUGCUACAGUGAGACCCCCAUCUUGCAAAGUUUGGUUAAGUAAAUAUGAUGAAAAUUAAAUCUAUUUACAAGAAUUACAUUUGUUUGAUUUUUUUCUGCUUAUAGAGUGAUCACUAGGUGUCAGAAGACUUGUAUUAUACUACAUGAGCUGUAUGGAGUCAUUUUAUAGACAUUUGUUGUCCUUUUUGAAAGUGAAGCUGGAAUCAAUUUACUGCAGUUGUUUAGAUAAAGGUCAGCAGUAAGUUUUGGGUGAACUAUUCCUUUAAACAGUCAAAGCCCCUGCUACUUUCCUGACUAAAGUUUUAUCUCGUCUGAAUGCAAAGAUUGCUAUAGCACAGUCUGAUGACAUUCAUUACUUUGUCUUAAGGCUUCUUAUGUGACUCUGCACUCACUGCUGGGUACAGCCUCAUACAUUUGAUUUAAUAAUAUCAGGACUGGGCAUCUCCCCCUGAAGUGGUAUUGAAACAGUAAAUUACUGUUACAUACUACUUUUUUGAAGUUUGGGUUGUGGAGUUAAGUGGCCAUAACAUAAGUCCAAAUAUUAAAAGAAUAGUUCACCCAAAAAUGAAAAUGUUCUGAUAAUUUACUCACCCUCAGGUCAUCCAAGAUGUAAUCGGGUUUCUGUCUUCAUCAGAAUAGAAUUUAAAACAGACGUUCUUUUGAAAUUAAUGCAAGAAAUAAUAAUCCAUCUUUUGAAUGGUCAAAUACUUGGAUGCAUCAAAAUAAUCCACACGACUCCAGUCGAUAAGUCUUCUGAACUGAAACAAUUGAACAUUUUUACAAACAAAACAUUAGUUAUGUACUUUUAACCUGCAAAUGCUUACUUCUGCCCUCGCUCUGUGAUGCACACUCAGCCCCGUGUCACAAGUAUUGUUUUGUAGAACAACAAAAAAAUUUAUUGUUUCAGUUCAGAAGACUUUUAUUUGUCGACUGGAGUCGUGUGGAUUAUUUUGAUGCAUCCAAGUAUUUGACCAUUCAAAAGAUGGAUUAUUAUUUCUUGCAUUAAUUUCUUGAGGAGACACCCUUGUGUUCCGAUGACGAGUUAAUUAUCAGCAGAUUUGGAUUUUUUUUUUUUUCUCUCAAAAUCAAAUAAAGUGAUCUGCUGAAGAAACAAAAACCUAUAUCUUGGAUGACACGAGGGUGAGUAAUCCAUAUGAGAAUUUUCAUUUUUGGGUAAACUAUUCCUUGAAAAUGUUUCUUUGAAUGUAGCCACUUAUUCACCCAAAAAUGAAACUUCUGCCAUUAAUUACUCUCCCUCAUGUCGGUCCAAAAUCUGUAAGACCUUCGUUCAUCUUCAGAACACAAAUGAAGAUAUUUUUAAUGAGAUCUAAGAGCUUUCUGUCCCUCCUUUGACAUCCUAAGUAAC
Molecule: long non-coding RNA, 1802 nt
Organism: Xyrauchen texanus (razorback sucker)
Lineage: Eukaryota; Metazoa; Chordata; Actinopteri; Cypriniformes; Catostomidae
Exons: 3
Source: RefSeq, a predicted model, not a curated record